AUCAAAUAAAGUAAAAAUAUUUAAGAAAAAAGAAAAAGUAAAAUUUGACUUGAAUUUUGUCUUUAUCUUACUACAUAACAAAUAACAAAAGGUUAUAUAAGUCAUUUACUAAAAUCUCUAUUAGACAAAAAGUUGUAUUAGAGAGGAAAGAGAAUAGUGUCUAUUUCUCCUAUUUUAAAAAAAACUAUCUACUUUGCAAAUUAUUUGUAGAAAAAGUAUCUACUUUCCAACUUAUUAUUUUGCAUACCUCUUGUGUACAUUCUUAUAGGAUUUUCUUUUUGUAUCUCGACCCUUUUUGACU
This 301-nucleotide small RNA is filed under the name Arabidopsis thaliana (thale cress). RNAcentral's name for it is "ATSL189280". The record is from RNAcentral. Lineage: Eukaryota; Viridiplantae; Streptophyta; Magnoliopsida; Brassicales; Brassicaceae.